GAUGAACGCUGGCGGCGUGCCUAAUACAUGCAAGUCGAGCGAACGGACGAGAAGCUUGCUUCUCUGAUGUUAGCGGCGGACGGGUGAGUAACACGUGGAUAACCUACCUAUAAGACUGGGAUAACUUCGGGAAACCGGAGCUAAUACCGGAUAAUAUUUUGAACCGCAUGGUUCAAAAGUGAAAGACGGUUUUGCUGUCACUUAUAGAUGGAUCCUGGCUGCUUUAGCUAGUUGGUAAGGUAACGGCUUACCAAGGCAACGAUGCAUAGCCGACCUGAGAGGGUGAUACGCCACAUAGGAACGGAGACACGGUCCAUACUCCUACGAGAGGCAGCAGUAGGGAAUCUUCCGCAAUGGGCGAAAGCCUGACGGAGCAACGCCGCGUGGGUGAUGAAGGUCUUCGGAUCGUAAAACACUGUUAUUAGGGAAGAACAUAUGUGUAAGUAACUGUGGACAUCUUGACGGUACCUAAUCAGAAAGCCACGGCUAACUACGUG
RNAcentral lists this ribosomal RNA (497 nucleotides) under uncultured bacterium. RNAcentral describes it as "partial 16S ribosomal RNA". It matches the Rfam family "Bacterial small subunit ribosomal RNA", at positions 28 to 507 of the family's 1533-position model. The record is from RNAcentral.